CAGAAAGAGAGAUGUUGGAAUGGCUCAAUCAAAUCAAAUCUCUCAAGGGUUCUUGGGUCCUUUAAUCUGAUUGAGCCGUGCCAAUAUCCCUCUUAUUUAU
Molecule: microRNA precursor, 100 nt
Filed under: Manihot esculenta (cassava)
Lineage: Eukaryota; Viridiplantae; Streptophyta; Magnoliopsida; Malpighiales; Euphorbiaceae
Source: RNAcentral